GGGGAAUAUUGCACAAUGGGCGAAAGCCUGAUGCAGCGACGCCGCGUGCGGGAUGACGGCCUUCGGGUUGUAAACCGCUUUCAGCAGGGAAGAAGCGAAAGUGACGGUACCUGCAGAAGAAGCACCGGCUAACUACGUGCCAGCAGCCGCGGUAAUACGUAGGGUGCGAGCGUUGUCCGGAAUUAUUGGGCGUAAAGAGCUUGUAGGCGGUUUGUCGCGUCUGCUGUGAAAACCCGGGGCUCAACCCCGGACUUGCAGUGGGUACGGGCAAACUAGAGUGUGGUAGGGGAGACUGGAAUUCCUGGUGUAGCGGUGAAAUGCGCAGAUAUCAGGAGGAACACCAAUGGCGAAGGCAGGUCUCUGGGCCAUUACUGACGCUGAGAAGCGAAAGCGUGGGGAGCGAAC
RNAcentral lists this ribosomal RNA (405 nucleotides) under uncultured bacterium. RNAcentral describes it as "bacterial SSU rRNA". It matches the Rfam family "Bacterial small subunit ribosomal RNA", at positions 356 to 773 of the family's 1533-position model. The record is from RNAcentral.